UGCAGGACCAAGCAUGCUCAGUGCAAAAAAGCUUCGCUGCCCUGCCUGUCAAGCCCGAGGUUUGAACUCGGUCCAGAACGCCGGAUUUACUUUUCAGGAAGAAACCCUACCUGCCUGGGCUGCUUUCUUUUAAUUCUCCCUUCCCUCCUCCUCAGAGGAGCGCAAACAAUGUUCUUUUGAUGCUUUCCUGCGAGUGGGAAUCUCGCCCUGGAGAAGGAGACAAAACUUUGCUACCUGUGAAACGAAGACUGCUUAGGUAGCAGUGGAAAUGAAAGCAAAUCUGUUUGGCCACACAGGCUCCACAAAUGUGAAUUCCUGGAAGAAACUGGAAAAAUUUGGAAAAUAGCCCAGGGGUGCUGGAUAAAUACCUGGAAUGUCCAGGACCCCAGGAAGGUGAAUCCAACCUGCCCAGGGCAUUUGGUCUCUGCUCCCUGGGGAAUGAACACAAGAGUCCAGACCCCUGUUGCAUCAUCUCUUCUGUGGUUUUAGAUGACAAAAAGAUAAUUAAAAUAAUUGUCUUUUUACUAAAUGUAAGGUUUUGAUAGCAAACCUUAAGUAGGGUUGAUCUGGGGAUGUUUUAUGGGCAACCAAAAAUCCUGACCUCUCCUGGAUGGGUGUUAAAGCUCCUGCACAUCCUCCCGUGAGCCCAAACAGCUGAAAUUCCUCAUUUUGUGCCUCUGGAGCUCUGAACCCACUCAGAGCAUGCUCAGCCUGUUGUAAUGCACUGCUGAAAAAAGCAGUGCUCACUUUGGAGUUCAAUAAUAAUGGUAAUUUCACAGCCUGAUGUCAGGGUAAUAAACUCUUCCACCGGGCAACUGCUGUGACCACCAGGAAAGUUUUAUUUCUCCAGGUUCAACAGUUUCCCUGUGACUGAUGGAGCCUUGGAGGAGAGGUGACUUCCCUCCAAAAGGAGCACUGAUAUUUCUGUGUUUGCAGUUAAGGCUCACUAACCACUGGCAUCAAUCUGAUAAGCAUCUGAUGGGGCCCAAUUAUGCCAUUCCUCAGCUUUGGAGUGAAUAAAAUUUAUUUUCUAGCCCACA
Molecule: long non-coding RNA, 1040 nt
Organism: Melospiza melodia melodia
Lineage: Eukaryota; Metazoa; Chordata; Aves; Passeriformes; Passerellidae
Exons: 3
Source: RefSeq, a predicted model, not a curated record